CCCGGGUCAUACAUACUAAUCUAUCAACACUUCUUUGUUGCUCAUAUGUACAUGACCAUCGAUUGUAGGCCUGGUGAAACAUUCAAUCAAGAAGAGUUACGCUCAUUUUUCUCAUUGCCAAAAGUUGUGGAUGGCCUUUUCAGUCUUGCCAAGAUGCUUUUCAAUAUCAACAUUGAAUCAGCUGAUGGCCUAGCCUCGGUAACAUCUAACUAGUCUCAUCAUUGCCUGCUCUUUUAGUCUUUUUAAUGCUAAGCAUACAUUGCUUCUAUGGACUCUCAGCUUAAAAACUUCAGUGGUGGCUACUGCUUUGCGUUAAAGCUAUUGAAUUAUUACAUAAUGAGUUAAAGUUGACUGGGGGCUUUUUUCAUUUUUGUUCUGGUGUUAUUCAUAUAAUGGACACUCCUUAUAGGAACUAUUGGUUACCACGCAGCAUGAAGAAUUGUGGAAUUUGAAUGAAGUUCAUAUUUCAUUAGCCUUGAUGCCAAAAACUGAAAAGGAAAAAAAAUUGUUCACUGUCAAGAUGUACAAUGAGGUGACCUCAUAUUAUGAGAAGGCACUUGCCCUUUAGACCAUAAGUUUGAGCACCUAUGCAGGUCUGGCGUACACUCAUCAUUUGUAGUGGCUGGAGCAAGCUGCAGACCCAUGUCAGGAAGUAGUUAUAAAAUCAUUACUUGUUGCAAGAGAUGUUAUGCUUGAGAUCAAAUUUAAUAUGCAACAGAUGGGCCAGGCAGUAGGCUUUUUUCAUUUUUGUUCUGGUGUUAUUCAUAAAAUGCAAUUUGUUCCCUUUGAUUAGCCAAUACUGAAACUUUAACAAAUAGAUUUGCUAGCAUUUUUUGCCAUCUCUGCAAAGUUAUAAUUUGAAGUGCUAACUUUUACUAUAGCUUAUUUUGUAAUUUUGAUUUUGCAAUGCAACAUCUACAAGCACAUUAUUUUCUUAUGUUUUUCUUUAGAUUAAUCUCUAUUUUGAUGGAAUGCAAUAAACUUCUGUUAAUUUAUUUCCCUUGACCCUAAAUUUCGUGUGUUUAUCAGGGUUUAAAAUUGUUCCUAAAAUUUCAUCCUAAAAUGUGA
This is a long non-coding RNA of Magnolia sinica, 1068 nucleotides long. RefSeq lists it as uncharacterized. Lineage: Eukaryota; Viridiplantae; Streptophyta; Magnoliopsida; Magnoliales; Magnoliaceae. The record is from RefSeq and is a predicted model, not a curated record. The transcript has 3 exons.